Molecule: long non-coding RNA, 1993 nt
Filed under: Setaria viridis
Lineage: Eukaryota; Viridiplantae; Streptophyta; Magnoliopsida; Poales; Poaceae
Description: long non-coding RNA (SVIR_LNC006080)
Source: RNAcentral
AACGAACGUGGCAACGUGCGCAAUAGAUUAAUAGAUUAUGGCUGCACCGAUCGAUCCUGGGGGGGAGGGGCGAGCGAGUCACGUGGAAUCUUUGGUGAUCUUCCCUGCCCAGCUAUGGAAUAGAAAAGGGAUGAUAAAGUAGUUCACUCCAAUUAGGCAUUCGUAACCAGGGUCCUUCAGCUUGUUUGCAAAUGUAGUGAAGCACUUAAAUGUGUCUAAAAAGCUGUAGUGGAACUAGACAAGCUGGUGUUUACCCAAACGAAACUGCUUAAUUUGUUUUUUGAACGAAAGUGGCAGGCUUAAGAAGAAGAAAAGUUCAAAUUUACGCAAGGCACUCAUGCCUCGGCAGUACACAGGGACACAUCUCACACGACCCAACAGAAACUGACACAGGCAGGCAGAAAAAACUCAAAGAAAAAACUUGAGGACCGAGGUGUACGUAGUCCCUUCUGUAUUCUCCAAACAAUCGUUUAUUCUCUCUCCCACCUGCUGGGCUGUGAGGUGCUCAUUUUUUUCAUAACUACUUCUGGUUGCUUAAGGCUAUCCGCACCGCUAGAUUGCAAAGGAAACGCAACUGUAAAUUUGGAGGUGAGACCCCCGCAGCGCAACCCUCUAUCGCACCCUCUACAGUUCCGUUUGCUACAGCAAACCUCCAAACUCGGAGGUGGAGAGAGGAACGCUAUCCUCAACCAUUGCGGCGCGAAGCAACCGUCACGGCCGGAUCCGUGCGCUGGAGGCGGGGAGGAGGGAGCCGUGGCCGCCAACGGGGAGGAGGCACUAGCGCAGGCGGGAGGAGGCCACGGCCCUUUGGCGCAGAUGAGGCCGAAGCACGGAGAGGAGGUCAACGACGCGCUCCUCUGCUCCCCCGACCACGGCGGCGACGGUGACGACUCCGGCGAGGAGGAGGAUGGAGGAAGGGAGGGGUAGAGAGAGCUCGCCGCUGGCCACCGGGACCCUGCAGCAAUGGCGAGCCCCGACGGCCGGACCAGAUCCCGCCGCCGGCUGGGAAGCAGGGAGGGAGGCUGCGUCCUCGCGCCGCACCGUGGAGGCCGGGCCCCCGCGCCGUGCUCCUCUCGUGUCGGGGAGGAGUGACGGCUGUUGGUGGGGAAGGAGACGUCGGCGAGAGGGAGGAGCUUCGGCCGCCGCCAGCCUCGACCCUGCUGCCGGCCGGGAAGGGAGAAGGGGGGGAGGAGAGAGGGAUGGGAGGGAGCGGGUGGUUUGAAGAAGAGGAUAGAGACGCUCGACAACACGUUUUAUGUUUUACCGAUCGGUAAAACCCAAUUUAACAGGUAGGCCAUGCUCAUUUACCGGUUCCUUUAGGAGUACAGCGGUGCGGUUAGCCUAAGAACCCAAACUAAACUAGACGGUGCAUGCAAAUUCAGGAGCGACCUCUCUGAGACGAUGAGUGCGGGGCAAGGGCAAGACCUCUACUUCAGGUUGCUUAAGAACCCAAACCUGCUGCUUGAUUGCGCAUGGUUAACUGACGCUUGUUGCCAUUGCCAUUAUUGCGCUUGAUUGCGGCACCAUGCACCAUCACUGUACAAGAGUACAAGUAGAGGUGAGCCUGAGCCAUCACGUGCAACCGCCAACCGAACAAGAACAGCUGCAUUCGUUAGCUGGCAAGAUGCCAUUCACCUUGACUGGGCUAGGCUCAUCGUCAUAGCCUCAGAUCUCCUUCCAUCUGGUGAAAUUUCAUAGGAAUAUCAUAGUCUCUGUGUUUCUUUUUUUUUUAAAAAAAGAUAUCAUAGUCUUCUUCAGAGAAGCGUCUAUGCCGAACGCCGUGCAUCGCCACAACCCACGUACCCCUACGGCAAUUCACGAGCGCGAGCCCUCGGAUGAGUUCACGCCGCUGCUUCGCUUGAUCUCGUAUGGCGAGGAGAGGAGACCUUCCAGCGGCUGACAGUCCGAACGAGCCCCUGGUUUUCGGCAUGCGAAUGGGCAAAUGAUGCGUUUCCAGGCUUCCAGCCGGCAUGCGAAGUGAGCAAGUACUGGC